CAUCUUUUCUUGUUACCCCACUUAAUAUUAUCAAAAUGGACAACGUAUGGAUGAAAGCUAUUUAUAUAAGGAGAAAAUGGGGUGGAGAAAAAGAAAAAUGAGAAUGGGUAGGUUGAGGAAGAGUGUGGGUCGAGGUGGUGAAGGGAGAAAAAUAAAAACAGGAAAGAAAGAGGAAAAAAAUAAUGAGAGUAACAUGAUCACAAAAUAUAAAAAUC
This 215-nucleotide long non-coding RNA is filed under the name Elaeis guineensis (African oil palm). RNAcentral's name for it is "long non-coding RNA (EGUI_LNC029591)". The record is from RNAcentral. Lineage: Eukaryota; Viridiplantae; Streptophyta; Magnoliopsida; Arecales; Arecaceae.